This 478-nucleotide ribosomal RNA is filed under the name uncultured bacterium. RNAcentral describes it as "partial 16S ribosomal RNA". It matches the Rfam family "Bacterial small subunit ribosomal RNA", at positions 28 to 523 of the family's 1533-position model. The record is from RNAcentral.
GACGAACGCUGGCGGCGUGCUUAACACAUGCAAGUCGAACGGUAAGGCCCUUCGGGGUACACGAGUGGCGAACGGGUGAGUAACACGUGGGUGAUCUGCCCUGCACUUCGGGAUAAGCCUGGGAAACUGGGUCUAAUACCGGAUAGGACUCCUGGCUUCAUGGUUGGGGGUGGAAAGCUUUUGCGGUGUGGGAUGGGCCCGCGGCCUAUGAGCUUGUUGGUGGGGUAAUGGCCUACCAAGGCGACGACGGGUAGCCGGCCUGAGAGGGUGACCGGUCACACUGGGAAUGAGAUACGGCGCAGACGCCGACGGGAGGCAGCAGGGGGGAAUAUUGCACAAUGGGCGCAAGCCUGAUGCAGCGACGCCGCGUGUGGGAUGACGGCCUUCGGGUUGUAAACCUCGUUCAGCUAUGACGAAGCGCAAGUGACGGUAGUAGCAGAAGAAGGACCAGCCAACUACGUGCCAGCCGCCGCAGUAA